AUUGAACGCUGGCGGCAUGCCUUACACAUGCAAGUCGAACGGCAGCACGGGUGCUUGCACCUGGUGGCGAGUGGCGAACGGGUGAGUAAUACAUCGGAACAUGUCCUGUAGUGGGGGAUAGCCCGGCGAAAGCCGGAUUAAUACCGCAUACGAUCUACGGAUGAAAGCGGGGGACCUUCGGGCCUCGCGCUAUAGGGUUGGCCGAUAGCUGAUUAGCUAGUUGGUGGGGUAAAGGCCUACCAAGGCGACGAUCAGUAGCUGGUCUGAGAGGACGACCAGCCACACUGGGACUGAGACACGGCCCAGACUCCUACGGGAGGCAGCAGUGGGGAAUUUUGGACAAUGGGCGAAAGCCUGAUCCACCAAUGCCGCGUGUGUGAAGAAGGCCUUCGGGUUGUAAAGCACUUUUGUCCGGAAAGAAAUCCUUGGCUCUAAUACAGUCGGGGGAUGACGGUACCGGAAGAAUAAGCACCGGCUAACUACGUG
Molecule: ribosomal RNA, 486 nt
Filed under: uncultured bacterium
Lineage: Bacteria
Description: partial 16S ribosomal RNA
Rfam family: Bacterial small subunit ribosomal RNA
Source: RNAcentral